RNAcentral lists this ribosomal RNA (497 nucleotides) under uncultured bacterium. RNAcentral describes it as "partial 16S ribosomal RNA". It matches the Rfam family "Bacterial small subunit ribosomal RNA", at positions 28 to 507 of the family's 1533-position model. The record is from RNAcentral.
GAUGAACGCUGGCGGCGUGCCUAAUACAUGCAAGUCGAGCGAACAGAUGAGGAGCUUGCUCCUCUGACGUUAGCGGCGGACGGGUGAGUAACACGUGGAUAACCUACCUAUAAGACUGGGAUAACUUCGGGAAACCGGAUCUAAUACCGGAUAAUAUAGUGAACCGCAUGGUUCAAUAGUGAAAGACGGUUUUGCUGUCACUUAUAGAUGGAUCCGCGCCGCAUUAGCUAGUUGGUAAGGUAACGGCUUACCAAGGCAACGAUGCGUAGCCGACCUGAGAGGGUGAUCAGCCACACUGGAACUGAGACACGGUCCAGACUCCUACGGGAGGCAGCAGUAGGGAAUCUUCCGCAAUGGGCGAAAGCCUGACGGAGCCACGCCGCGUGAGUGAUGAAGGUCUUCGGAUCGUAAAACUCUGUUAUUAGGGAAGAACAAAUGUGUAAGUAAAUAUGCACGUCUUGACGGUACCUACUCAGAAAGCCACGGCUAACUACGUG